Ictalurus punctatus (channel catfish) is the source of this 623-nucleotide long non-coding RNA. The record is from Ensembl. Lineage: Eukaryota; Metazoa; Chordata; Actinopteri; Siluriformes; Ictaluridae.
CCCUGACAAAACCAAUACAAACAUAGGGAGAAAAUACAAAGAAACAUUUUAUUUUGUCCAGGUCUUGAUUAGUCCAAGUGAGUGUUGGGAAGGGUCUUUAUUAGUCCAGGUUAGUGUUGGGAAGGGUCUUGAUUAGUCCAGGUGAAUGUUGGAAAGGGUCUUGAUUAGUCCAGGUGAGUGUUGGGAAGAGUCUUGAUUAGUCCAGGUGAGCAUUGGGAAGGGUCUUGAUUAGUCCAGGUGAGUGUUAGGAAGGGUCUUGAUUAGUCCAGGUGAGUGUUGGGAAGGGUCUUGAUUAGUCCAGGUGAGUGUUGGGAAGGGUCUUGAUUAGUCCAGGUGAGUGUUGGGAAGGGUCUUGAUUAGUCCAGGUUAGUGUUGGGGAAGGGUCUUGACUAGUCCAAGUUAGUGUUGGGGAAGGGUCUUGAUUAGUCCAGGUGAAUGUUGGGAAGGAUCUCGAUUAGUCUCUAUGAGUGUUGGGAAAAGUCUCGAUUUGUCCAGAUGAGUGUUGGGAAGGGUCUUGAUUAGUCCAAGUGAGUGUUGGUAAGAGUCUUGUUUAGUCCAGGUGAGUGUUGGGAAGGGUCUUGAUUAGUCCAAGUGAGUGAUGGGAAGGGUCUUGAUUAGUCCAG